RNAcentral lists this transfer RNA (63 nucleotides) under Podarcis lilfordi (Lilford's wall lizard). RNAcentral describes it as "tRNA.Asn". It matches the Rfam family "tRNA", at positions 9 to 63 of the family's 71-position model. From Rfam's summary of the family: Transfer RNA (tRNA) molecules are approximately 80 nucleotides in length. Their secondary structure includes four short double-helical elements and three loops (D, anti-codon, and T loops). Further hydrogen bonds mediate the characteristic L-shaped molecular structure. tRNAs have two regions of fundamental functional importance: the anti-codon, which is responsible for specific mRNA codon recognition, and the 3' end, to which the tRNAs corresponding amino acid is attached (by aminoacyl-tRNA synthetases). tRNAs cope with the degeneracy of the genetic code in two manners: having more than one tRNA (with a specific anti-codon) for a particular amino acid; and 'wobble' base-pairing, i.e. permitting non-standard base-pairing at the 3rd anti-codon position. The record is from RNAcentral. Lineage: Eukaryota; Metazoa; Chordata; Lepidosauria; Squamata; Lacertidae.
GAGACAUAAUGGCUCAGUGCGUCUGGCUGUUAACCAGAAGGUUGGUGGUUCGAGCCCACCCCG